GUACACGCUGUGACUAGCAUAUCAAUAAGCGGAGGAAAAGAAACUAACAAGGAUUCCCCUAGUAACGGCGAGUGAAGCGGGAGGAGCUCAAAUUUGAAAUCUUAAAGGGUUUCCCUUUACGAAUUGUAGUUUAAAGAAGUGUUUUCUGUUGAGGUUUUGGUAAAAGUUCUUUGGAAUAGGACAUCAUAGAGGGUGAGAAUCCCGUAUUUGACCUUUACUUUCAACUUUGUGAUACACUUUCAAAGAGUCGGAUUGUUUGGGAAUGCAGUCCAAAAUGGGUGGUAAAUUUCAUCUAAAGCUAAAUAUUGGCGAGAGACCGAUAGCGAACAAGUACCGUGAGGGAAAGAUGAAAAGAACUUUGAAAAGAGAGUUAAACAGUACGUGAAAUUGUCAAAAGGGAAGCGUUUGACACCAGUGUUGUUUUUCUGAAAAUCAAUUAAAGAACUGUUUAUGCUAAGCUUGUUUAGACUUUAUCAGCUAAUCUGUUUAGUUUUGAGCUUUUCCUUAAUGCACUUUUCAGUUAACAAGUCAACAUCAAUUUCUUUUGCUGUAAAAAAGCUUGAGGAAGGUGGCUUGAGAUUCGUCUUAAGUGUUUAUAGCCUCUUGCCUAUGCAGUCGGAGAGAUUGAGGUCUGCAGCGUAGAUCCUUCGGGGCUAAAUGCAUUUGUGCUAAGUUAUAGCAUUUUAUAGACAACUUGUUGACUAUGAUUUGUCUUGUAGCUUACUCGCUUAUGUUAUUUUACCUACGCUUAGGAUGUUGAAGAUGUAGCACAUCAU
This 776-nucleotide ribosomal RNA is filed under the name uncultured Neocallimastigales. Its description in RNAcentral is "partial large subunit ribosomal RNA". It matches the Rfam family "Eukaryotic large subunit ribosomal RNA", at positions 22 to 635 of the family's 3401-position model. The record is from RNAcentral. Lineage: Eukaryota; Fungi; Neocallimastigomycota; Neocallimastigomycetes; Neocallimastigales.